RNAcentral lists this small RNA (969 nucleotides) under Arabidopsis thaliana (thale cress). RNAcentral describes it as "ATSL009070". Lineage: Eukaryota; Viridiplantae; Streptophyta; Magnoliopsida; Brassicales; Brassicaceae. The record is from RNAcentral.
AAAGCAAAUAUGAAAAUAUAUGAAAAGAAUUUUAUUUUUAUUAGCGUUAGAAAAAAAAGUUUAGGCCAACAUGAAAAAUUAAUUGCGUUAGCUACGAGAUUACAACUAACAUCACCAACAUAGAGUUAAGUGAUUAUUGCAUUGUCAUCACACGGUAUUCCUUGAUAGAAUGGUUAACUUGAGGUUAAAAGAAACUAUCUUUGAGGACAAAGUAAAAUGUUAGGAAAUUGCGUGGAAAUAGAACUUGCUUUUAAAAUCCAAAAACUAAUUAAAACUACCACAACUUAUAGUAUAAUCAUAGCUUCAAUUUAGUAAAAGUGAAGGUUGGAGCUUAAACUUGAAGUUAAUUUUGUUUGUGUCGGUACGUGUUCUAUAUAAACCACCCAUAUCUUUUCAUUUCCUCAUCGAUUUCAUUUGUGAAAUCAGAAACAUGGUGAAAUCGAAGGGUUGAAAAGAGUUCGAGAGAGACGCAAAACUACUUGUGGCUGCAGCCAAAUACAAGAGAGAAAAUAUUUAUCUCAUUGCAGAGGAAAUGAAUAUGACUAGGGGUUUGAUCGUCAAAUAUUAUGUGCCUUGGAGCAAGUAUCUCCAAGCAUUUGCCCUAAAACCGAACACCUCACAUUUACAAUCAAUAUGAAAAUAUAUGACGAGGAUUUUUUCAUAUACAAAAAUUAUUUCUUAGAAUUUAAGUUGGAAAAAAUCUCUUCUCAUUCUCUUAUAGUCAUCUUAUUAAUUCUUCACAAACAAUAUGAAAAUAUAUGAUGAGAUUUUUUUUAUGAGCGUUAGCAAAAAAAACUUUAGGCCAAUAUGAAAAAUUAAUUGCAUUAGCUACGAGAUUACAGCUAACAUCAGUAACAGAGAAGUUUGAUGUCUUCAAUUUGAGCCUAUAAUUUUUGCUAUUUUCAAUUAUAUUUUUCUCUGGUUUUACUUAUGUUUUGCUUACUAUUUGUUUAUCUUUUAAAUAUAUAA